CCAGCCCUGGAUUCCUAGGUCUUCACAUUCAGGGGUCAGCACUGAACACAGUUCACAUGAUGGAUUUGAGGCUGAUUUUGGUUUUCCUUGUUGCUUUCUUAAAAGGUGUCCAGUGUGAAGUGCAGCUGGUGGAGUCUGGGGGAAGCUUAGUGCAGCCUGGAAAGUCCCUAAAACUCUCCUGUGUGGCCUCCGGAUUCACCUUCAGUGAUUACUGGAUGAACUGCGUGCGCCAGGCUCCAGGCAAGGGGCUGGAGUGGGUUGCAGAUAUUAACUAUGAUGGCAGUACCACAAACUAUAUAUCAUCCGUGAAGGGCCGAUUCACCAUCUCCAGAGACAAUGCCAAGAACACACUGUACUUGCAAAUGAACAGUGUGAAGGCUGAAGACACAGCGACUUAUUACUGUACUAGAGACACAGUGAGGGAAUCUCAGUGUGAACCCAGACAUAAACCUCACUGUGAGGCCUCUCAUGGUCACCAGGGGUCACACAGGACACACAGAACUCAGGUUCAUCCCUGGAGGUUAUGCAGACAUGGUUAGAUGAAGCACCCCCAUCAGGUGUCUGGGCUGAAAUUUUUUCUUAAGAUGUCUCCUGAAUUCUUUCUACAUACUGUUUUUUUCUUAGGGAACCAAUGUCCUCAAAACAUCAUAUGUUCUCCAUGUAAGUGUGGAACCUCCCCUCUCUACUCUCCCUGAGGACUGUGCACUGCACUUCAGAUGUGACCCAGCAGUGCUUUUAGCUUAUAAAGUUCAUUACUCCAUCACCUCAUCAUUAUUCACUAUGGGAUGUUUUCAAACUGAAUCUUUCAGAAAAAUAUGUCUGUAUGGAG
Mesocricetus auratus (golden hamster) is the source of this 829-nucleotide non-coding RNA. Lineage: Eukaryota; Metazoa; Chordata; Mammalia; Rodentia; Cricetidae. The record is from the annotation of a RefSeq genome assembly.